UACGAAGGGGGCUAGCGUUGUUCGGAAUUACUGGGCGUAAAGGGCGCGUAGGCGGCCCUGUCAGUCAGAAGUGAAAGCCCCGGGCUCAACCUGGGAAUUGCUUUUGAUACUGCGGGGCUUGAGUUCCGGAGAGGUGGGUGGAAUUCCCAGUGUAGAGGUGAAAUUCGUAGAUAUUGGGAAGAACACCGGUGGCGAAGGCGGCCCACUGGACGGACACUGACGCUGAGGCGCGAAAGCGUGGGGAGCAAACAGG
Molecule: ribosomal RNA, 253 nt
Filed under: uncultured bacterium
Lineage: Bacteria
Description: partial 16S ribosomal RNA
Rfam family: Bacterial small subunit ribosomal RNA
Source: RNAcentral